UACGAAGGGGGCUAGCGUUGCUCGGAAUCACUGGGCGUAAAGCGCGUGUAGGCGGCUUCGUAAGUCUGGUGUGAAAGCCCGGGGCUCACCCCCGGAAGUGCACUGGAAACUGCAAGGCUCGAGUACCGGAGAGGAGGGUGGAAUUCCUGGUGUAGCGGUGAAAUGCGUAGAUAUCAGGAGGAACACCGGUGGCGAAGGCGGCCCUCUGGACGGAUACUGACGCUGAGACGCGAAAGCGUGGGGAGCAAACAGG
This 253-nucleotide ribosomal RNA is filed under the name uncultured bacterium. RNAcentral's name for it is "partial 16S ribosomal RNA". It matches the Rfam family "Bacterial small subunit ribosomal RNA", at positions 524 to 776 of the family's 1533-position model. The record is from RNAcentral.